This 133-nucleotide small nucleolar RNA is filed under the name Chaetura pelagica (chimney swift). Its description in RNAcentral is "Small nucleolar RNA SNORA13". It matches the Rfam family "Small nucleolar RNA SNORA13". From Rfam's summary of the family: ACA13 is a member of the H/ACA class of snoRNA that guide the sites of modification of uridines to pseudouridines. Lineage: Eukaryota; Metazoa; Chordata; Aves; Apodiformes; Apodidae. The record is from Rfam by way of RNAcentral.
UGCCUUUGUGUUGCCCAUUCAUUCCUGUCCCGAGUGAAUGAGGUGUCAGAAAAGGCAAACAGAAAUUCUUGCUCAGACUGUGUAAGAAGCUGGUUAUUUACCUUUCUUCUCACUGUUUUUUGCAAGAACACAA